GCGGUUCAGCAGCUGAUAAACAGACGCCAUCUUGUUCGUUUCAUCGAAAUAUAGACAUUCCAAACAACUCUUUAAGAAGUUGACCGACGCUUAUCAUUUUUAUUCUAUAAUUUAAAAAAGUUUGCUCACGUCAAAGAAUAUUAUCACUUGACAGAAGAUAGGCCGACGAGAAAAAGAAGACGAACCUCUGACAUGUACUGACAGAACAAAAGAAAAUUUACAGUGAAACGAUGGAGGAAUAAUAAAAAAAUUGAACCAUUAUGAAAUACUUGAACACGAAAAUAUGAAGAAGAUCCGAUACGGAAUAUUUUGUCUUUUAUAUCUUCUCUUCCAGGUGGCGGCUGCAGUGGCCUGUAAGCGGAAAUCAUCUUGUCGUCCGCCGCGCUGUCCAGGCGGCUGCAAGCCAAAGUAUUGGUGAUAGAUCCCAGAGAUGUGGGAGGUAUUGAUCUGGGCCACGUGGUGUCUGAUGCUGGUGAUGGGCGUGGUGGAUGGCUGCAAAAAGAAGACGAUCUGCCGCCCACCACCGGGUGGCAGGCCUGGUUGUGGAGGGCGUUGACAUCUGAUUACGAAUUACGAAACGAUUAAGAAUAAAAAUUGUAGUUUAAGGAUCUUUAAACGAAACUCAAUCAUUUAAAAUUGAAAUUAAAAGUUGACAUUUGAAGACGAUAAAAAACGAAAAAUGUUAGUUUAAAUAUAAUAAAUUUGUUAACUGU
This is a long non-coding RNA of Pieris rapae (cabbage white), 713 nucleotides long. RefSeq lists it as uncharacterized. The record is from RefSeq and is a predicted model, not a curated record. The transcript has 3 exons. NCBI's taxonomy places the organism in Eukaryota, Metazoa, Arthropoda, Insecta, Lepidoptera, Pieridae.